RNAcentral lists this ribosomal RNA (464 nucleotides) under uncultured bacterium. RNAcentral's name for it is "bacterial SSU rRNA". It matches the Rfam family "Bacterial small subunit ribosomal RNA", at positions 30 to 479 of the family's 1533-position model. The record is from RNAcentral.
AUUGAACGCUGGCGGCAUGCCUUACACAUGCAAGUCGAACGGUAACGGGCCUUCGGGUGCCGACGAGUGGCGAACGGGUGAGUAAUGCAUCGGAACGUACCUUUCAGUGGGGGAUAACGUAGCGAAAGUUACGCUAAUACCGCAUAUUCUGUGAGCAGGAAAGCAGGGGAUCGCAAGACCUUGCGCUGAUUGAGCGGCCGAUGUCAGAUUAGCUAGUUGGUGAGGUAAAGGCUCACCAAGGCGACGAUCUGUAGCGGGUCUGAGAGGAUGAUCCGCCACACUGGAACUGAGACACGGUCCAGACUCCUACGGGAGGCAGCAGUGGGGAAUUUUGGACAAUGGGGGGCAACCCUGAUCCAGCCAUGCCGCGUGAGUGAAGAAGGCCUUCGGGUUGGUUAAAGCGUCUUUCGGUCCGGGAACGAAAGUACGCAUGGGCUAAGUACCCUAGUGCGGAUGACGGUACC